This 450-nucleotide ribosomal RNA is filed under the name uncultured bacterium. Its description in RNAcentral is "bacterial SSU rRNA". It matches the Rfam family "Bacterial small subunit ribosomal RNA", at positions 354 to 796 of the family's 1533-position model. The record is from RNAcentral.
GUGGGGAAUUUUGGACAAUGGGCGCAAGCCUGAUCCAGCAAUGCCGCGUGCAGGAAGAAGGCCUUCGGGUUGUAAACUGCUUUUGUACGGAACGAAACGGUCCUGGCUAAUAUCCGGGGCUAAUGACGGUACCGUAAGAAUAAGCACCGGCUAACUACGUGCCAGCAGCCGCGGUAAUACGUAGGGUGCGAGCGUUAAUCGGAAUUACUGGGCGUAAAGCGUGCGCAGGCGGUGCUGUAAGACAGGCGUGAAAUCCCCGGGCUCAACCUGGGAAUUGCGCUUGUGACUGCAGUGCUGGAGUGCGGCAGAGGGGGAUGGAAUUCCGCGUGUAGCAGUGAAAUGCGUAGAUAUGCGGAGGAACACCGAUGGCGAAGGCAAUCCCCUGGGCCUGUACUGACGCUCAUGCACGAAAGCGUGGGGAGCAAACAGGAUUAGAUACCCGAGUAGUCC